This 425-nucleotide ribosomal RNA is filed under the name uncultured bacterium. RNAcentral's name for it is "bacterial SSU rRNA". It matches the Rfam family "Bacterial small subunit ribosomal RNA", at positions 354 to 796 of the family's 1533-position model. The record is from RNAcentral.
GUUAGGAAUAUUGGACAAUGGGCGCAAGCCUGAUCCAGCCAUGCCGCGUGAGUGAUGAAGGCCUUCGGGUUGUAAAGCUCUUUAGCCGAUGAUUAUAAUGACUGUAGUCGGAAAAUAAGCCCCGGCUAACUUCGUGCCAGCAGCCGCGGUAAUACGAAGGGGGCGAGCGUUAUUCGGAAUCACUGUGCGUAAAGCGUGCGUAGGCGGCUUUGCAAGUUGGGAGUGAAAGCACAGGGCUCAACCCUGGAAUUGCUCUCAAAACUGCAAGGCUCGAAUUCGGGAGAGGAUAGCGGAAUUGUCAGUGUAGCAGUGAAAUGCGUAGAUAUUGACAGGAACACCAGUGGCGUAAGCGGCUAUCUGGACCGAUAUUGACGCUGAGGCACGAAAGCGUGGGGAUCAAACAGGAUUAGAUACCCCUGUAGUCC